This 83-nucleotide transfer RNA is filed under the name Mesorhizobium phage vB_MloP_Lo5R7ANS. It matches the Rfam family "tRNA". Rfam says of the family: Transfer RNA (tRNA) molecules are approximately 80 nucleotides in length. Their secondary structure includes four short double-helical elements and three loops (D, anti-codon, and T loops). Lineage: Duplodnaviria; Heunggongvirae; Uroviricota; Caudoviricetes; Autographivirales. The record is from Rfam by way of RNAcentral.
GCGGGUAUGGUGGAAUUGGUAGACACGCUUGGUUUAGGUCCAAGUGCCUGAAAAGCUUGGGGGUUCGAGUCCCUCUACCCGCA